CGUAGGGCGCAAGCGUUAUCCGGAAUUAUUGGGCGUAAAGAGCUCGUAGGCGGUUUGUCGCGUCUGCUGUGAAAUCCCGAGGCUCAACCUCGGGUCUGCAGUGGGUACGGGCAGACUAGAGUGCGGUAGGGGAGAUUGGAAUUCCUGGUGUAGCGGUGGAAUGCGCAGAUAUCAGGAGGAACACCGAUGGCGAAGGCAGAUCUCUGGGCCGUUACUGACGCUGAGGAGCGAAAGGGUGGGAGCAAACAGGCUU
Molecule: ribosomal RNA, 253 nt
Filed under: uncultured bacterium
Lineage: Bacteria
Description: partial 16S ribosomal RNA
Rfam family: Bacterial small subunit ribosomal RNA
Source: RNAcentral